Long non-coding RNA from Pseudophryne corroboree (corroboree frog), 739 nucleotides. RefSeq lists it as uncharacterized. The record is from RefSeq and is a predicted model, not a curated record. The transcript has 5 exons. Lineage: Eukaryota; Metazoa; Chordata; Amphibia; Anura; Myobatrachidae.
GAUACAGUUGGUGGGAGAUGCGUGCCACUGUCUGCAGCAGCUCUUUAUCCCGGCUUUCCUUAGCAAUCAGCAGCAGCUAGAUAGCUCAUUCACGAUCUCCCAGACUGUCUUCCCGGAGCUAAGCUUGACUGCUGCCAGGGGCGGAUUGGGAUGGAACACCAGCUGAGAAAACCUCCAACAAUCUGCAGACUCUCAUUGGAACCCCCAGGUGACUGAAUGCUGCUGGCAUUUGUAACCAUGAAAUGCUCAACAGUUAUUAGCAUCUCUACGUCUGACAUAGAGGAGGGAAUGUGAAGUAUUUUAUGAUCCUUGUUUCCUUCAAGCAGAGUGUAAAAUCCAAAUGACAAGGCAUCUAAACCAAACACAGAAAGGUGUACAUUCGACCUGUUGGAGUUAACAGAGUCACCAUAGACAGAACAUUUACUAUAGGAAUCCAUAAAACAUCCGGCUUCCUUGGGUAUGAAAAAAGAUGGUGAUGGACCAGCAUGAUGGAGGAAUGUCACUUUCACUUCAUUGAUGUUUUGAAUCUUUCUCCAGAAUAAACACAAUUGUACCUCCUGGUAUGAAACCUGAAUUUCAUUGGAUCAUCUGCCAACAUCCUUGCCUUCUUCAGUUUGUCGCAAACCCAGUUUAUGUGAGGUCUGUUUUGAGGCCACAGACCACUGUGUCCAAGUGUUGUGAUCAAUUGCUGGAGACUGACGUAUUCAACUGGGAUUUUGUUAGCGACCAUAAAGUCUAC